This 481-nucleotide ribosomal RNA is filed under the name uncultured eukaryote. RNAcentral's name for it is "bacterial SSU rRNA". It matches the Rfam family "Eukaryotic small subunit ribosomal RNA", at positions 688 to 1162 of the family's 1831-position model. The record is from RNAcentral.
GCCCCGGGGCUCGUGAUAUCUCAUCUCGCCGCCCGUCGCGAGGCGGACGGAGGGAUGGAUGAGGUUACCUGGAAAAAAUCGGGGCGAUCUAGGCGGGCGAACCUCGCCAACGAACGAUCGGACAUGGGAUAACGGAAGAGGGCGUCGGCUCGACUUCGUCGGUUCCUCGGGCCGAGGCACGUACGGUGAAUAGGGACGGUCGGGGCCGCCCGUACCGGGUCGUGAGAGGUGAAAUUCUAGGAUCGACCCGAGACGAACCGCCGCGAAAGCAUUCGGCAAGGACGCUUUCAUUAAUCAAGAACGAAAGUCGGGGGAUCGAAGACGAUCAGAUACCGUCGUAGUCCCGACCGUAAACGAUGCCGACCGAGGGCCCCGGAGGAGUUACGUACGACCCUCCGGGCCCUCCCGCGAGAAAUCAGGAGUAUUCGGGUUCCGGGGGGAGUAUGGUCGCAAGGCCGAAACUUAAAGGAAUUGACGGAAG